This 187-nucleotide ribosomal RNA is filed under the name uncultured bacterium. RNAcentral describes it as "partial 16S ribosomal RNA". It matches the Rfam family "Bacterial small subunit ribosomal RNA", at positions 1314 to 1500 of the family's 1533-position model. The record is from RNAcentral.
GCCUGCAUGAAGUCGGAAUUGCUAGUAAUCGCGGAUCAGCAUGCCGCGGUGAAUACGUUCCCGGGCCUUGUACACACCGCCCGUCACACCAUGGGAGUCGGAAAUGCCCGAAGUCUGUGACCUAACCGUAAGGAAGGAGCAGCCGAAGGCAGGUCGGAUGACUGGGGUGAAGUCGUAACAAGGUACC